UCCUACGGGAGGCAGCAGUAGGGAAUUUUCCACAAUGGGCGAAAGCCUGAUGGAGCAACGCCGCGUGCAGGAUGAAGGCUUUAGGGUCGUAAACUGCUUUUAUGUGCGAUGAAUUUGACAGUAACACAUGAAUAAGGAUCGGCUGACUACGUGCCAGCAGCCGCGGUUAUACGUAGGAUCCAAGCGUUAUCCGGAAUUACUGGGCGUAAAGAGUUGCGUAGAUGGCAUUGUAAGCAAGACAUUAAAUCGUGUGGCUCAACCAUACAACCAUGUCUUGAACUGCAAAGCUAGAGAGCGAGAGGGGUAGAUGGAAUUACUAGUGUAGGAGUGAAAUCCGUAGAUAUUAGUAGGAACACCGAUAGCGUAGGCAGUCUACUGGCUCGUUUCUGACACUGAGGCACGAAGCGUGGGGAGCAAAUGGGAUUAGAUACCCCAGUAGUCCACGCUGUAAACUAUGGAUGCUAGCUGUGAACCGUAUCGACCCGGUUCGUAGCGAAGCUAACGCGUUAAGCAUCCCGCCUGUGGAGUACGGCCGCAAGGCUAAAACAUAAAGGAAUUGACGGGGACCCGCACAAGCGGCGGAGCGUGUUGUCUAAUUCGAUGGUAAGCGAAGAACCUUACCCAGGCUUGACAUCCCGAGAAGUUUGUCGAAAGACAAAUGUGCUUUAUUGAACUCGGUGACAGGUGUUGCAUGGCCGUCGUCAGCUCGUGUCGUGAGAUGUUUGGUUAAGUCCAUCAACGAGCGCAACCCUUAUAGUUAGUUGAAUUUUUCUAGCUAGACUGCCCUGGUAACAGGGAGGAAGGAGGGGAUGACGCCAGGUCAGUAUGAUCCUUAUGUCUGGGGCUACAAACACGCUACAAUGGCCAGUACAACGGGUAGUGAAGCCGCGAGGCGGAGCCAAUCCACAAAGCUGGUCUCAGUUCAGAUUGCAGGCUGCAACCCGCCUGCAUGAAGCUGGAGUUGCUAGUAACCGCAGGUCAGCUAUACUGCGGUGAAUACGUUCCCGGGCCUUGUACACACAU
This 1023-nucleotide ribosomal RNA is filed under the name uncultured bacterium. RNAcentral describes it as "bacterial SSU rRNA". It matches the Rfam family "Bacterial small subunit ribosomal RNA", at positions 337 to 1392 of the family's 1533-position model. The record is from RNAcentral.